GAUGAACGCUGGCGGCGUGCCUAAUACAUGCCAGUCGAGCGAACGGACGAGAAGCUUGCUUUUCUGAUGUUAGCGGCGGACGGGUGAGUAACACGUGGAUAACCUACCUAUAAGACUGGGAUAACUUCGGGAAACCGGAGCUAAUACCGGAUAAUAUUUUGAACCGCAUGGUUCAAAAGUGAAAGACGGUCUUGCUGUCACUUAUAGAUGGAUCCGCGCUGCAUUAGCUAGUUGGUAAGGUAACGGCUUACCAAGGCAACGAUGCAUAGCCGACCUGAGAGGGUGAUCGGCCACACUGGAACUGAGACACGGUCCAGACUCCUACGGGAGGCAGCAGUAGGGAAUCUUCCGCAAUGGGCGAAAGCCUGACGGAGCAACGCCGCGUGAGUGAUGAAGGUCUUCGGAUCGUAAAACUCUGUUAUUAGGGAAUAACAUAUGUGUAAGUAACUGUGCACAUCUUGACGGUACCUAAUCAGAAAGCCACGGCUAACUACGUG
Molecule: ribosomal RNA, 497 nt
Filed under: uncultured bacterium
Lineage: Bacteria
Description: partial 16S ribosomal RNA
Rfam family: Bacterial small subunit ribosomal RNA
Source: RNAcentral